RNAcentral lists this long non-coding RNA (264 nucleotides) under Lathyrus oleraceus (garden pea). RNAcentral describes it as "Pisum sativum (pea) long non-coding RNA (PSAT_LNC022370)". Lineage: Eukaryota; Viridiplantae; Streptophyta; Magnoliopsida; Fabales; Fabaceae. The record is from RNAcentral.
UGAUUAGUGAUGUUUUUGUUUGUUGUGAAUGAAAAUAAAAUGUAAAGAGAUUAUUUUCUUGGUCUUGGUUUGUUGAGAAAAAAAGAUGAAAGAUUUUGAAAGGGAGGAAAGAGAGAAAAGAGUUUCUUCUGCUGCAUUUUUUUGUGUUGUAAUAUAUGUUAUUUGUUUUUGUUUUUUAUUAUUAUAAUAACAAGUCCAUGUGUCAUAUUCUAAUUGGGUCAUUUUAAUUUUGAAGAAAAGUCAAAGUGGAAUUUAACCACAUCC